Molecule: ribosomal RNA, 316 nt
Filed under: Macaca mulatta (Rhesus monkey)
Lineage: Eukaryota; Metazoa; Chordata; Mammalia; Primates; Cercopithecidae
Description: partial 12S ribosomal RNA
Rfam family: Bacterial small subunit ribosomal RNA
Source: RNAcentral
AAACUACUCGCCAGAAUACUACGAGCUACAGCUUAAAACUCAAAGGACUUGACGGUGCUUUACACCCCCUAGAGGAGCCUGUUCCGUAAUCGAUAAACCCCGAUCCACCCCACCCUCUCUUGCUCAGCCUAUAUACCGCCAUCUUCAGCAAACCCUAAUGAAGGUCACAAAGUGAGCGCAAACGCCAUCACCGCGAGUACGUUAGGUCAAGGUGUAGCCUAUGAGAUGGUAAAAAAUGGGCUACAUUUUCUACCUCAGAAAAUUCCACGAAAACCCUUAUGAAAUUUAAGGGCCCAAGGAGGAUUUAGCAGUAAAU